GACGAACGCUGGCGGCGUGCUUAACACAUGCAAGUCGAACGAUGAAGCUGGAGCUUGCUCCGGUGGAUUAGUGGCGAACGGGUGAGUAACACGUGAGCAAUCUGCCCUUGACUCUGGGAUAACUGCGGGAAACUGUAGCUAAUACCGGAUACGACACCUUGGGGCAUCCCGAGGUGUGGAAAGAAUUUCGGUCAAGGAUGAGCUCGCGGCCUAUCAGCUAGUUGAUGAGGUGAUGGCUCACCAAGGCGACGACGGGUAGCCGGCCUGAGAGGGUGACCGGCCACACUGGAACUGAGAUACGGUCCAGACUCCUACGGGAGGCAGCAGUGGGGAAUAUUGCACAAUGGGCGCAAGCCUGAUGCAGCAACGCCGCGUGAGGGAUGAAGGCCUUCGGGUUGUAACCUCUUUAGUCAGGGAAGAAGCGAAAGUGACGGUACCUGCAGAAAAAGACACCGGCUAACUACGUAGCCAGCAG
Molecule: ribosomal RNA, 475 nt
Filed under: uncultured bacterium
Lineage: Bacteria
Description: bacterial SSU rRNA
Rfam family: Bacterial small subunit ribosomal RNA
Source: RNAcentral